RNAcentral lists this ribosomal RNA (467 nucleotides) under uncultured bacterium. Its description in RNAcentral is "partial 16S ribosomal RNA". It matches the Rfam family "Bacterial small subunit ribosomal RNA", at positions 28 to 507 of the family's 1533-position model. The record is from RNAcentral.
GACGAACGCUGGCGGCGUGCUUAACACAUGCAAGUCGAACGAUGAUCCGGAGCUUGCUCCUGUGAUUAGUGGCGAACGGGUGAGUAACACGUGAGUAACCUGCCCCUGACUCUGGGAUAAGCGUUGGAAACGACGUCUAAUACUGGAUAUGAUCACUGGCCGCAUGGUCUGGUGGUGGAAAGAUUUUUUGGUUGGGGAUGGACUCGCGGCCUAUCAGCUUGUUGGUGAGGUAAUGGCUCACCAAGGCGACGACGGGUAGCCGGCCUGAGAGGGUGACCGGCCACACUGGGACUGAGACACGGCCCAGACUCCUACGGGAGGCAGCAGUGGGGAAUAUUGCACAAUGGGCGAAAGCCUGAUGCAGCAACGCCGCGUGAGGGAUGACGGCCUUCGGGUUGUAAACCUCUUUUAGUAGGGAAGAAGCGAAAGUGACGGUACCUGCAGAAAAAGCACCGGCUAACUACGUG